Long non-coding RNA from Haliotis rufescens (red abalone), 605 nucleotides. RefSeq lists it as uncharacterized. The transcript has 2 exons. The record is from RefSeq and is a predicted model, not a curated record. NCBI's taxonomy places the organism in Eukaryota, Metazoa, Mollusca, Gastropoda, Lepetellida, Haliotidae.
UAUGUUAAUGGCAUAAUUAUUUGGUCUAUAAUUAACCUCCGUAGUAGAAUCCCCACUGUAUAAAAAACAGUAUUAGCAAUAGAUCCGCACCCCCUACUCGGGCUGUGCUGAGACUGGGUCAUAUGGCUGAGGGUAGCGUAAUCCCGGUCGUCUGAUCUACGGCUGGCCGUGCGGGAAUCACGUGUUCUAUAACUGUGUGAUAGUGACGUAACAUCUCCCUCGCUUCUCCGCCCGUGUAACUGGACUGUGUGGCAGUAUGAGAUGGCGCAUGCUUAGGAAUUCCAUCCUGAUUAGCACGAGCCUUUUGUCAGUUCGUCUAUCUUAUGGCUAGAGGGUGAAUGGUGUGUAUUACUGAGCAUACUGCGAUGCAAUGUCCGUGAUUCACGAUCAGCCCUAUGGUGUACGUGGUAGGGAGUGACAUACUGAUGUCCGGUACCUGACCACCCGAUUCUGUUAGCCGCCUCUUACGACAAGCAUAGACGCGUUUUACGGCAAGCAUGGGUUGCUGAAGACCUAUUCUACCCCGAUCUUCACGAGUCUUUUGAUUUUGGACAUGCAACUAAAUAAAAGCAAAAACCCUUUUCCAUUAUUAUAAAGCUCAAAAA